UGGGGAAUUUUGGACAAUGGGCGAAAGCCUGAUCCAGCAAUGCCGCGUGUGUGAAGAAGGCCUUCGGGUUGUAAAGCACUUUUGUCCGGAAAGAAAUCCUUGGCUCUAAUACAGUCGGGGGAUGACGGUACCGGAAGAAUAAGCACCGGCUAACUACGUGCCAGCAGCCGCGGUAAUACGUAGGGUGCAAGCGUUAAUCGGAAUUACUGGGCGUAAAGCGUGCGCAGGCGGUUUGCUAAGACCGAUGUGAAAUCCCCGGGCUCAACCUGGGAACUGCAUUGGUGACUGGCAGGCUAGAGUAUGGCAGAGGGGGGUAGAAUUCCACGUGUAGCAGUGAAAUGCGUAGAGAUGUGGAGGAAUACCGAUGGCGAAGGCAGCCCCCUGGGCCAAUACUGACGCUCAUGCACGAAAGCGUGGGGAGCAAACAGGAUUAGAUACCCUGGUAGUCCACGCCCUAAACGAUGUCACUAGUUGUUGGGAUCAUUCCUUAGUAACGUAGCUAACGCGUGAAGUUGACCGCCUGGGGAGUACGGUCGCAAGAUUAAAACUCAAAUGAAUUGACGGGGUCAUAGCUG
This 575-nucleotide ribosomal RNA is filed under the name uncultured bacterium. RNAcentral describes it as "partial 16S ribosomal RNA". It matches the Rfam family "Bacterial small subunit ribosomal RNA", at positions 355 to 932 of the family's 1533-position model. The record is from RNAcentral.